CCUUGUUUUCAACCAAGAGCAGUGAUAAUGUCCUCUGACGACCUCACCUACCUCAGUGGGUGUACACUUGUAUCUCUAAGGACAUUUGUCAGAAAGAGGCUUCUUGUUUUUCUUUUCUGAGGAAAGGCAGGGACCAAUAAACAUAGAGAACUGUUUAUAAGUAUGAUCCAAAUUUCGGAAUAGUUUCUGUCACUUGGCUGUCCUGUGAAAUGUGCACUAUUAAAAAGAGGAGUUACUGAAAAUUAUAGAAAGAAAAUCAUCCUAGAAGUUCUAAUUAAGGUAUCUUUAAGUU
Long non-coding RNA from Chiroxiphia lanceolata (lance-tailed manakin), 292 nucleotides. RefSeq lists it as uncharacterized. NCBI's taxonomy places the organism in Eukaryota, Metazoa, Chordata, Aves, Passeriformes, Pipridae. The record is from RefSeq and is a predicted model, not a curated record. The transcript has 3 exons.